RNAcentral lists this ribosomal RNA (433 nucleotides) under uncultured bacterium. RNAcentral's name for it is "partial 16S ribosomal RNA". It matches the Rfam family "Bacterial small subunit ribosomal RNA", at positions 29 to 507 of the family's 1533-position model. The record is from RNAcentral.
AGCGAACGCUGGCGGCAGGCCUAACACAUGCAAGUCGAACGGAUCCUUCGGGAUUAGUGGCGGACGGGUGAGUAACCCGUGGGAACGUGCCCUUUGGUUCGGAACAACUCAGGGAAACUUGAGCUAAUACCGGAUGUGCCCUUCGGGGGAAAGAUUUAUCGCCAUUGGAGCGGCCGGCGUCUGAUUAGCUAGUUGGUGAGGUAACGGCCCACCAAGGCGACGAUCAGUAGCUGGUCUGAGAGGAUGAUCAGCCACACUGGGACUGAGACACGGCCCAGACUCCUACGGGAGGCAGCAGUGGGGAAUCUUGCGCAAUGGGCGAAAGCCUGACGCAGCCAUGCCGCGUGAAUGAUGAAGGUCUUAGGAUUGUAAAAUUCUUUCAGCGGGGACGAUAAUGACGGUACCCGCAGAAGAAGCUCCGGCUAACUUCGUG